This 207-nucleotide long non-coding RNA is filed under the name Elaeis guineensis (African oil palm). RNAcentral's name for it is "long non-coding RNA (EGUI_LNC022607)". Lineage: Eukaryota; Viridiplantae; Streptophyta; Magnoliopsida; Arecales; Arecaceae. The record is from RNAcentral.
AGGGGUUUCAGUCAAGUGGGAGGCUUGAAGCGGCUGAACAAGGAAGGAAGCUUAGAGGAUGGCUUGGGUUUUAUGGGGAGUAUUUAUAUAUAAGAGUCUAAAGGAGAUAAAUAUAUUAUUAAUUAAUUUAAAAAUAGAUAUAAUUUUAUUGAUUAAUAUAGUAGUUAGGCCAUCUAAAGAUUUGGAGCUCAAAUCCUCUCAUCCUCC